RNAcentral lists this transfer RNA (75 nucleotides) under Methanonatronarchaeum thermophilum. RNAcentral's name for it is "tRNA-Lys". It matches the Rfam family "tRNA". From Rfam's summary of the family: Transfer RNA (tRNA) molecules are approximately 80 nucleotides in length. The record is from RNAcentral. Lineage: Archaea; Methanobacteriati; Methanobacteriota; Methanonatronarchaeia; Methanonatronarchaeales; Methanonatronarchaeaceae.
GGGCUCGUAGCUCAGCCUGGCAGAGCGUCUGGCUCUUAACCAGUUGGUCAGGGGUUCAAAUCCCCUCGAGCCCGC